Molecule: ribosomal RNA, 250 nt
Filed under: uncultured prokaryote
Description: partial 16S ribosomal RNA
Rfam family: Bacterial small subunit ribosomal RNA
Source: RNAcentral
UACGUAGGUGGCAAGCGUUGUCCGGAAUUACUGGGUGUAAAGGGAGCGCAGGCGGGAGAGCAAGUCAGUGGUGAAAUGCAUGGGCUUAACCCAUGAACUGCCAUUGAAACUGUUUUUCUUGAGUGGAUCAGAGGCAAGCGGAAUUCCGAGUGUAGCGGUGAAAUGCGUAGAUAUUCGGAGGAACACCAGUGGCGAAGGCGGCUUGCUGGGGUCUAACUGACGCUGAGGCUCGAAAGUGUGGGGAGCAAAC